This 6583-nucleotide long non-coding RNA is filed under the name Medicago truncatula (barrel medic). RNAcentral describes it as "long non-coding RNA (MTRU_LNC002602)". The record is from RNAcentral. Lineage: Eukaryota; Viridiplantae; Streptophyta; Magnoliopsida; Fabales; Fabaceae.
AAAGGAGGUGCAUGGGAUGAAAUUGACUUUGAAUUCUUGGGAAAUUUGAGUGGUGAUCCUUACAUCCUUCAUACCAAUGUGUUUAGCCAAGGCAAAGGUGACAGAGAGCAACAAAUUUACCUUUGGUUUGACCCAACUGCAGAUUUUCACACAUACUCAAUUCUAUGGAAUCCACAACGUAUUGUGUAAGUUCUAAAUCAAUAUAUUCUAUACAAUCUUGAAAUAAAAUCAAUAAAAAAAAUUUAAAAAAAAAAACAUUACUUGUGUUGGAAGAAACUAAAUUAGACUAUUCUCUCUGUGUAUAUUUAUUUCAGUUUCUCUGUGGAUGGAACUCCAAUUAGAGAAUUCAAGAACAUUGAAUCAAGUGGCGUUCCAUUCCCCAAAAACCAACCAAUGAGGAUAUACUCAAGUCUCUGGAAUGCUGAUGAUUGGGCAACAAGAGGAGGACUUGUUAAGACAGAUUGGUCCAAAGCUCCUUUCACUGCUUCUUACAGACACUUCAAUGCUAAUGCAUGCAUUGUGUCUUCUGGAAUAUCAUCUUGUGAUUCAGCACAAUCUAAUAAGAAUGAUUGGUUCUCUGAGGAGCUGGAUUCAACAAGUUAUGAGAGGCUCAAGUGGGUUCAGAAGAAUUACAUGAUCUAUAAUUACUGCAGUGAUAACAAAAGAUUUCCUCAGGGUCUUCCUCAAGAAUGCAGGAUGACUUAGGGGAUUUGUGAAUUUAGUUUACAUCAACAUGUUGUAUAAUUGUAUUGUAUUUUCUUUUGUUUUUGUAACUUUCAUAAUCAAACUCAUUAAUUAUUUGUACCAUUUCUUCAGUAUGCUAUAACUUUUUUUUUUUUUUUAUAAUAGAUAGACAAGUAUAUAUUGUGGAUUUUUCCAAAUCUUCAUCGUUGAAGUUAAUACCAUUGUCUAUGUUAAACUUUUUGGGUAUGCGAGUGGAUUUGGUUCAAAAUGAAAUAACACAGUUGACAAAUACAUUGAGUCAGUGUACACUGCACUAUUAACAUAAAAAAAUAAAAACUAAUUUAAUAGUAGAAGUCAGAUCAGAACUAAAUUAUCACAAUCUUUUUCUAUGUAAUGUUUUUGUAUUCUAAGAGUAUCAUUUUCCCUUGCAGGAAUUAGUAUUAUCCUCAGCAUCAGUGGUCUGAUGGCGGUGUUGAUGUACUGGCUAGGUAGGACGUGCCUGCCCAAGACAAAAUACUACAUGAGAUUUGAGACCCCACCCACAUUCUCAUUGGAACUAACUCUGAAUUUUCAAAAAAAUUGCCAUAAAAUAUGCGAAUGCGCGUCUUCCUAUCCUCAAAUGUUGGCUUGGCUGCAAAAAACCGAGUGACACCCACUUGCAAGUUUUUGUUAACUUAGUAAGAUGACUACUACUUUUUUGAAAGAAAAAGAUUACUACUUCUAUUAAGCAAACUAUUGUUUCUUAUUAGUAAGUAACUUUGUUUUUAGCAGGAAUUUCUAAAAUAAAAACUAUUGUUUCUUAUUAGUAAGUAAUCUUGUUUUUACUUAAAUUUCUAAAAUAAACACUGUUAUAUCCCCCUGAGCUUAGCUCAAUUGACAGGGACAACAUUGUUAUAUGCAGGGGUUGAGGAUUGAACCCCGGACACCUCACUUAUUCUACUUGAAAAAGAGGAAUUAUAGUCAUUAAGCUACUUGAACAAAAAGAAAAAAAGAAAACACUAUUAGGCUAUUAGCCAUUGGCUCUGUUUAAUUAAUUAAUUUUUGUGCCAACUCAUUGAAAACUGCAGCUGUACGCGGCACCAUGAUCCGAGUGCACUUUCCUCUGUUUCAUCAUUCAACAUUUCAUCACACCACAUCUUGUAUAAAUAUCAAUCCCAUUUCUCUUCCACAAUCAUCCCUUCAAUUCAACAUUUCAUCUCCACUACGAAUUACUACCCACCUAUAUAUACAUACACCACCAAAUCAACCAUGGCAUACACUCAUAAUUGCUCAAUGAUCACUGUCCUCUUAUCUCUAUUGGUUUUUGCCACUUUCAUGACUACAUAUGCAGCUGGAAACUUUUACCAGAACUUUGAUAUAACAUGGGGAGAUGGUCGUGCCAAGAUACUCGACAACGGACAACUUCUCACUUUAUCCCUUGACAAAGCCUCUGGUUCUGGAUUUCAAUCCAAGAAUGAAUAUCUCUUUGGCAACAUUGAUAUGCAGCUCAAGCUUGUACCUGGAAACUCUGCAGGAACGGUCACUGCUUACUAUGUAAGUUAUAAAUAAUUGUUAUUGUCUUAGUGCUAAUGCUACAAUAAUAUAUCUAGUCUAAUAAUAAUUUGAACCUUUCAAUACAUAAUCAUGUGUUAAUUAUUUUUACCAUGGCAUGCAGUUGUCAUCAAAAGGAUCAAAUUGGGAUGAGAUUGACUUUGAAUUCUUAGGGAAUGUGAGUGGAGAACCAUACACUCUUCACACCAAUGUGUUUUGUCAAGGAAAAGGAAAUAGAGAACAACAAUUCCAUCUAUGGUUUGAUCCAACUGCUGAUUUUCACACAUACUCCAUUCUUUGGAAUCCUCAACGCAUUGUGUAAGCACUUUUUCAAAUAUCAUACUAAUAAAAACACUGGACACGACACUAACACUAAUAUAUAAACAUGUGUCGGUGUUUGAUAGAUACUAGAAAUUCUUUAAAAAAAAAAUCUCAAUUGGACACAAUGAAUUGAUUAUUGAUAAACAUGUGUUUGAUUGAAUGCAGUUUUUCUGUGGAUGGAACACCAAUAAGAGAAUUCAAGAACAUGGAAUCAAAAGGAGUUGCAUUUCCAAAGAAUCAACCAAUGAGGAUAUAUUCAAGUCUAUGGAAUGCUGAUGAUUGGGCAACAAGAGGUGGUCUUGUCAAGACAGAUUGGACAAAUGCUCCAUUCACUGCAUCAUAUAGGAAUUUCAAUGCAGAAACUACUUCAUCUAAUGCAUGGUUUACCCAACAAUUGGAUUCAACAAGUCAACAAAGAUUGAGUGAGGUUCAGAAGAAUUACAUGAUUUACAAUUAUUGCACUGACAUCAAAAGAUUUCCCCAAGGCCUUCCAACAGAGUGUACUGCAUCCUAAUUAAUAUCUUUCUAUAUUCCAAUAGCAACUAUAUACUUGUAGAUUUAUUCUUUCUUAGGCCUAUUCAAUUUAUUUUACUUGUAACGUGCUUCAUCUUAAUUCAUUUAUUCUUUGAUACACUAUAAUAAAUAUUCAGAUUUCUUUUCUUUCAAGCUUAAUAUAAUCUGCUAAACUAAUUCUAUAUUUGUUAAAGGUGUGUAUAAACAUGUCAAUUUUGCCCAAUAUGUCUUGACAUUUUGUAAGAUGCAAAAAAAAAAAAAAAAAAUUGGUGACUUCGUUUAAUCAUUAUCAUAAGAGUGAAGUUUUAUUCUGGUCUCUAAUGAAAAAAAAUAUGGAACAGUUAGUCUCUAAACAAAAAUUCAUAGACAAAUUCAGUGAUUACAUAGACAGUUAAAUCGACUGUGAAUAUUUAGUAGGAGACAUUGUGGCACUGUAACAAAAAAAAUGAAAGGGUAUAAGUAAGUCCCACACAAAACUUGAUCCGGCUGAGCUGAAAUGUAAACUAGACGCAGCAAUUUACCAUCAAUAAGGAUGUUAUGGAGUAGGGAUGUACAUUCGGAAUCAGAAAGGGGAAUUCGUCAAACCCAAUACUAUUUGGAUUUUGGAAGGAGGCAUCUAUUCCAUUUCUGUAGGCUGAUGCUUUAGGAUUAUAUGAAGCCUUACUAUGGCUAAGUGAGUUGGGUUGCAAAACUUUUAGUUUCAUUAGGUAGCAAACAAAUCUUGUAGCUCACACCCUUGCAAGAACGUCUAAUUUUAAUUUUCCAAGUUUUUAAUUUUAGCCUAAUCUAUAUUAUGAAUACUUUCUUGAAUGGAAUUUAUUAUGAAUAUUGUAAAAAAAUAUAUAUAAAAAAAAGUGUUUGUAUGUAACAAUUCUUUUAUUUUUCGUAGAGAUUGUAAUGACUCUUUUAUUGCUAUAAAAGGGUAUCAUUUUACCAAUGGUUUUUCAUUAUGUGUUAAGAGGGAUACCGAUGGUUUUACAUAAAAAGCCAACCAUAGAAAUGUGAGUCACACAUAUACAAAUUUAUUUAUAUUUUUUAAUGUUGGCAUGCAUUAAACACUCAAUCACUUUAACAUAACACCUAAAAAAUUACUAAAUAGAUCUCACUAAUUGAUUUACAUCAUUAUAUUUUAUAAACGAUUUAUUUGUUAAAUUAUACUUCUUUUAACAAAAAAGACAUUCUUUCAAAAAUAAAAAAACAAAAAAGACAUGUUUAACCCACUUGGAUUCCUAGGUAUUGGUUUGGGACCUGGGAGUGUGCUCCUCCUCAAAGUCUCAGAUUUGAUUCUCUCUGGAGCCAAUUUGGUUGGACUAAUUUAACUUCUUAAAAAAGAAAAAAAAAUGUUUAGUUGUAUCAAAUUAAAUAUAAGCAAAUUCAACUAUAUUUUUAUAUAUAAGCAAAUGCAAUAGAUUAUAUUGAAAGACAAGCCAUGGAUCAAAUCUUACAACUCUUUUAUUUUUGGGAGACUGUAAUGACUUUUUCAUUGCAAAGGUUUGUAUUUCACCCAUGGUUUUCAGUGUCAUUCAACGGAUGAGGUCUAUAUUACCCCCUUAUAAUUUGGGGUAAUUUAUCCCUCAUGGUUUUAAACAAUCAAAUUGUAGGAUAUAAAGUCAACCCUACCCUCAUCGUCAUUAAUUUAAGAGAAAUUUUAACCUUAGAUAAUUUUUAAUACUUUUAAUUUUUUCUUUAAAAAAAAUACUUUUAAUUUUAAUUAAUUAUAUUUUAAGUGUUGAAUUUUAAUAAUUUUACAUUUUAGAGCUUAUAUCAAUUAAAAGUUAACAUCAAAGUUUCUUUCAUCCUUAGAUCCAUCAGUUACAUUUAGAAAACAAUUACAGAGAAAGUGUAAGUCCAAACACAUCUUCACCUUAGAUCCAUCAAAGUUUGAUUUUAAAGAUCGGUUCCUAUAUUUUUCAAAAUUUUCAGACUAGUGCCUAUAUGUUUUCAAACUUUGUAGAUUAGUCUUAUAUUUUUGAAAAUUUACAAAUUGGACCCAAUAUUUCAACUUUACCAAAAUUUGCAGUUCCACCCUCAUUUUUUUUCUAAAACGUCAAAUUUUAUCCAAUUUGAAAAUUCAAUUAGUUAAGUAAAGAUUAUCAUUAGUUAAGUAAAGAUAGUGGUAUAAUUGAGAUAACUUUAUGACUAAUGUUAUUUUUGAAUUUUUAAAAUGACAAAUCCAUGAUUUUCAAUAAAAAAAACAAAGUUCGAAUUUCCAAACUAUGUGUCAAUUUUUGUUUUGGAAGAGGGUUGUAUGAGCAGAACAUAGUAUCAAUCCAGAAGCAUUUGGAUAUACUCUUCUAACAGGUGAAAAAGUAAAAUUUUACAGCUAGCUGGUGCCUCUUGCCAGGGGAUAGGGUCCAGGUAUUAUUCAAAGGUGACGACGGUGACCGUGACCUUAUCCAUCCACUAACUAAGAUAUUAUUCAUUCGUUCAUCAUAUUUUUCUUUUGGUUAAUAUUCAUUCAUUACAUAUAUAUCAUACUUUAUUUACCUGAUGAUAGUGACCUCAAUCUUAUUUAAUACCUCGUGCUCAUCCAAUUGUAACAACGUACAUCCUCUACCCUGCUCCACCAGUAUUACCUUUACUUUGUUACUUUUAUUUAAUCCAUGGUUUCAUUAAUUAAAUACGACAAAGUUUAUUGCCUAUGCUAUGCUCUCAUUUGACAGCUAUUUCCUUACCAAUUCAAUACUAUACAACUAUCCACAGCUUAGGUCACAGUUUGACCUUCCUAUCUUUUUCCUCUCCAAUACUUGCUUCAAACUUCAAAUCACACACGCUCAUUUUUUUACUAUAUAUAUAGUAACAACUCUUCAACCUUCAUAACACAUCCAACAUUACUUUACUUCUUGAAACCACAUCUUCAUUAGUUUUCAUACAUUAGUAAAUUGAUGGCUUCUACUACUACUUUGCUAGUGCUUCUUAUUCCUCUGCUUUGGAUUAAUGUAGCAUGUGUUGCUGGUAACUUCAACAAAGAUUUUCAGAUUACAUGGGGAGAUGGUCGUGCCAAAAUACUCAACAACGCCAAUCUUCUUACUCUAUCUCUUGACAAAGCCUCUGGUUCAGGCUUUCAAUCCAAAAAUGAAUACUUAUUUGGCAAAAUUGAUAUGCAGAUUAAGCUUGUUCCAGGAAACUCUGCUGGCACUGUCACUGCCUAUUAUGUAAGUAUAUUUGAAAUUCAAUAUUUACUUUAUAUCAUGCAUAUUCUUUAGCUUUUGAUAACUAAUUUUUUGGUGCUCAAUUAACUAAUUCAGCUGUCAUCAAAAGGAGGUGCAUGGGAUGAGAUUGACUUUGAAUUCUUGGGAAAUUUGAGUGGUGAUCCUUACAUCCUUCACACCAAUGUGUUUAGCCAAGGCAAAGGUAACAGAGAGCAACAAUUUUACCUUUGGUUUGACCCAACUGCAGAUUUUCACACAUACUCAAUUCUAUGGAAUCCUCAACGUAUUGUGUAAGUACUAAAUCAAUAUAUUCUAUACAAUCUUAAAAUAAAAUCAAUAAAAAAAAAAAAACAUUGCUUGUGUUCGAAGCAACUAAAUUAGAC